AGAAUCUUCAUUUAACAAGAUCCCAAAGGUGACCCAUAAUACACAUUAACGUUGAGAAGUGCUAGGCUAGCCUGUGGAACCUCUUUUCAUGGAACAUAAUAGUCUUUCUGUGGAACUCUUUGGAAAUGCUGCUUUAGGUAACGGGAAGCCAAUAAUUUUGAGCAAGAAACCAGAAUGGAAGUGGACUUAACCCUUGUGCCUCACCACACAAGGCAACGUCUCAAAAAUCCCAGGUGGGAACCUUUCCCUGACUCUUCACACUUACUCCUAGGGAAAACUUCCAGUCAUUCUCUUCCACUGCAGGAGAUCUCAUUGGGUCACGAAGCUCAGCAGACUAUACUGGCCAGAGCCACAGCAGCAAGCUGUAAACCACUAGUCCAUAAGCUCUUUGGUCUCAUGGGAACUAAAAUAUCUGCUCAUUAACGUGGAAGCCAGCCAUCAUUCAUAGUGAUGUCCAUGUUCUAGUGCUUCAUCCAAGUGUUUGUCGUAUCUUUGGACCCCUGUUAACUGAAGACCCAGUCAGUCAUUUAAUGGUCUAUAUUUCUGGGCAGUUUUUAGCUAAGAUAUACCACAAGAGUUGUCUUUUCAAACAUGGUUGUUUAAUUACAAUUAUCUUAUUUUGGAAAUAACUUUGAAAAUUACUGCCCUAAAAGGUCAUGCUGAAUUAUUCUCUAGUUGUUGUGAGUUUUUGAAAGCAAGAAUCUUGCUAGUCUUUUUUAGAUGACUUUAACAAAGAUUUUAUAUUUUUUAUUUUUUUUAUUCCUUCCUGUUAUGAGUCAGAACUCUGAUAAAAGAGCCACUCAGUGAUACGGUUUGAGAUGCUUAGGCCACAAGGGCCACAAUCAGAUGUGAACAUUUCCCUCCUUGGGGGAAUUCUGGAGGUGAGGGUUCGACAGUAAAGGUUUCCUGGCAACUUCGGCCAUCUAGUGCCUGGCACGAGAGGCGGUGUCACCACACCUCUUCUGGCUUCCUCUGUAAAGCAUAAUAUCAUCCAGUUCCAUCCAUGUCAAUGUAAAUGUUUAUCCAGAUGCAAAUAUGGAUGUGGACUCAGAAUCACCCAACUCAUCAUUAUGGAAACAUCACCAUCUACAAAGGAACAUGAACAAAAGCAGUAGAAUCUUCUUUGCUUGAAAUAUCUAUUGCCAGAAGGGCAAGUUGCUUUUGUAAAACGAAUUGUAUUUUAAUCAGAUAGCUUAGCUGAUACUAUGAGGCCUGGAGCAAACCUUAUGGUACAGCAAUGGGUCUGUCUGUUGCAUAGGUUCUGAUGUCUCAUUGGCCGAGCUCUUGUUUUUGUGAUGAUGGACAAGAACUAGGCUCUCCAGCCCUGAUUCUCUGGUGAAUGCCUGCCACGGCUGCCAUAACAAGUACCACAGACUGGUGUAUUUCCACCCAGAAGUAAACCCAGAAGUUUAUGUCCUCAUGGUUGUGGAGGCUGGAAGCCCAGGAUCCGGGUAUUGGCAGAUUUGGUUUCUCCUAAGGGCAUCUCCCUUGUCUUGUAGAUGGCCGUCUUCGCUGUUUGUGUCAUUUUCCCUCUGUGUGCGUCCAUGUCCUGAUCUCCUCCUCUCACAGGGACACCAGUGAGAUUGGGUUAGGGCCCACCCUAAUGAGCUCAUUUUACCUUAAUUUUCUCCUUAAAGGUCGUUGUCUCCAAUUACAGUCACAUUCUGAGGACUUCCAACAUAUAAAUUUUGGGGGGAUACACUUCACCUAUGACACCUGGUUUGGGAGUAUGGCUGACAAUCUCUGCUCUGCAAAAUUGUGUGGUUUUGAGGUCAUGUUUAGAAAGCUCCUGGUGCAAUGCCUAGCACACAGUAGAUGCUCACUGAGCAAGUUAUUAUCUCUACUUGUUAAGUUUGGAUUUUGAAUGUCAGAUUUUCUUAAACUGGGAGGCACCCAUAACAGAACCCAGGGGUUUUCUAUAUUGGAUCAAAGUGCCAUUCAGCCAGUUAGGAGCUUGCAUGUUCAUAUUGCAUCUCCAGCCUCAACACCAUUGCACAUGUAACACCCCUUUAAUGAGAUACCCUCCCAUAGCCUCUUCCCUGAAAUCUGUCCUGCUCCUUUUGAACCAAAACACUGCAUGUGCUAAACUCAUCACUUUCAAGGAAUCCUUCUGGACUGGACCUUUCUGGUUCCAAUCUCUUAGGUCACUCUGGUUCACCUGUGAGGCAGUAAACCAUCCCCCACACUACAGAUGGGCUCAUGGGUCUGGAGUCCCUCGGUGUCCAGCUCCAUUGCCCAUAUCCUGUGCAUGGGCAUGGUAUUCAUUUAUACCCUCAGUUUCCCCAUUUGUAAAACAUACAGCAGUGUAAGGACUGAAUAAAAUGGUCAAAGUAAAACCCUUAGCAAAAUGGCAAUAAACCCUAAGUAAGUUCUUCACUUCUGUCAGCUUUUCUUACUUUUCUUGUGUGCUCCUCAUACCUGUUUCUCUCCAGAUAUCUAAUUAUGGGAGGAAUAUCCUGUCAGUGUGCCCAUCCAGACUACAAUUGACUGAGCGACCCCUGUGGUAUUCCUGAGAAAGGGUGGGCAGGUGACUAAUGUGAGGGAGGAGCCCAGCAGUGGGCAGCACAGCUCCCAGCCUGCACAGUGUUGCUGGGCUCCAAGGCCUGCUGGUCUUCCCCACCCUGGGCCUCCCCGCAGUUUUUCCCAGCAUCUUCCCUCUUCCUCUCCUCAAUCACUCUUUCUCCUCUCCUUCCUCUCUACUUGGUUAUGAGCAUGUUCACCUUAUUCUGAAAGGACCUUCUCUUCCCCACAUCACACACAGAUUUUCCUCCUAAAUUUUCCUUUCCUUCUCUGCGAACGUCUUGAAAGAGGAGGCUGUGUACUGAGCUUUAGUUUCUGUGCCAUCCACACCUUCCUGAGCUCCUUCACAUUUUGGUCCUGUCCCUGAAGCUCCCUGUGAAAUAGUUCCCUCUAGCCAUUCUUCUUUUCUGUCUUCACGCUCAUCAAUGUCUCUGUGUUUUUCCUCAUUGCGCGUGUCCUGCUUUCCAAAGCUCUCUUCUUCUGAUUUUCAUGACCUUGCUGUGGAUUGUCCCAGGUCUAGUCAGCAUUCCUAGUUGGCUCAGAGGAUCUCCCAGUUCUGACUAUGUGCCUGGGGGCUGGUGCCCAGCUUAGGGGUGUGUGUGGGCAAGUCCAUGUGAGGAGAGGAACUGCCAGGGGCCUGAUUGGGAAGGCUUUCUGGAAGUGACACCUAUACUCCAUUCUGCCUCUCUUCCUG
Canis lupus familiaris (dog) is the source of this 3214-nucleotide long non-coding RNA. RefSeq lists it as uncharacterized. The transcript has 3 exons. NCBI's taxonomy places the organism in Eukaryota, Metazoa, Chordata, Mammalia, Carnivora, Canidae. The record is from RefSeq and is a predicted model, not a curated record.